This is a non-coding RNA of Coturnix japonica (Japanese quail), 781 nucleotides long. Lineage: Eukaryota; Metazoa; Chordata; Aves; Galliformes; Phasianidae. The record is from RefSeq and is a predicted model, not a curated record.
CUGUCUUCGGGAAAGAGAAAACUUUCCCUCUGAUCGCGGGGCCGCCGGGCCCCGUCCUCCACAGAGGGCUUCUGCUGCAGAGCGGCACCAUCUGCUGGGAGCAGCCGGUAGGGCGGGCAGCGGGUACGGGGAGCAUCUUCAAGAAGGGGCGUUGUUAACCUGAUUAGCCAGAGACUGAUGUUUAUAGGUGCCUCUCGCUGGAAUCUUUCCGCAAAGCUGCAAAAUUACGGGGUCGGAAAUUGAAGCUUCACAACAGUGCUUCAAAGUACAUGGAGAACUAUUGAAGUUGAGAGAAAAAGCUUGGGCAGCUGUGGAGAAGACCUGGCUAUGUGCAUUCAGUCCUAAAGAGAGAAAUGCAAAUUCUCAGUAUCCAAAAGCAGAAAAUUACUGAAGCCCUUAUUUUUUUCCCCCUAUCUCUGCGAUCUGUGCUAACAGCAAUGAAGAUUUCUGGACUAUUCUCCUAUACCUAAACUUGUAUUCUCUUUAGGCUUUGAGCCAGCUGUUUGAAGAUUUUAGAUGACCGACCUUGUGAGCUAAGAUCCCAGUGCUAUUGCUAUUUCACUUGUGCAGUCAUGUACCUUUCACUUAGCUCCUUCCUCACUGAUGUGGAAAUCGAUCCCAGACCUAAAUGAAAACUGUGUGCUUCCUUUAUUGUCUUAUCCUUUGAAUAUACUUUAUUAAAGUUAUUAAAAAAAUAGAAUCCCUUGUACUGUACCAGUGAGAGGCAGUUUUAGGGUGUGCUUUUAGUAUUCAGUCUUGGGGAAGUCUUUAUAUAGUCUUU